This 245-nucleotide ribosomal RNA is filed under the name uncultured bacterium. Its description in RNAcentral is "partial 16S ribosomal RNA". It matches the Rfam family "Bacterial small subunit ribosomal RNA", at positions 91 to 339 of the family's 1533-position model. The record is from RNAcentral.
GCGAGUGGCGAACGGGUGAGUAACAUAUCGGAACGUGCCUAGUAGUGGGGGAUAACGUGUGGAAACGCACGCUAAUACCGCAUACGACCUACGGGUGAAAGCAGGGGAUCUUCGGACCUUGCGUUAUUAGAGCGGCCGAUAUCUGAUUAGGUAGUUGGUAGGGUAAAGGCCUACCAAGCCGACGAUCAGUAGCUGGUCUGAGAGGACGACCAGCCACACUGGAACUGAGACACGGCCCAGACUCC